AUGCAUGUUUAAGCACAAGCCGAUAAAUGGUGAAGCCGCGGACAGCUCAUUAAUACACUCCUAAUCCUAGCAAUGCUUACUUUUAUGGAUAUCUGUGCUAAUUGUAGAGCUAAUACACGCAGAAAAGCCCAAGAUUCUUGGGUGCAUUUAUUAGAACAAAACCAAUCGGGCUUGCCCGUCUGUUGGUGAAUCUGAAUAACUGUGCAGAUCGCAUGGUCCAGUACCGGCGACACAUUGCAGGAGUGAGUGCCUUAUCAACUUUAGAUGGUAGUUUAUGUGCCUACCAUGGUUAUCACGGGUAACGGAGAAUUAGGGUUCGACUCCGGAGAGGGAGCCUUAAAAACGGCUACCACAUCCAAGGAAGGCAGCAGGCGCGCAAAUUACACAAUGACAGCAAAUUGUUGAUGUAGUGACAAGAAAUAACGAGAUGGUUCUCUAUGAGGUCCGUCAUCGGAAUGGGUACAACUUAAACCUUUUAACGAGGAUCAAUUGGAGGGCAAGUCUGGUGCCAGCAGCCGCGGUAAUUCCAGCUCCAAUAGCGUAUAUUAAAGUUGUUGCGGUUAAAAAGCUCGUAGUUGGAUCUGCGACCUUAGAGAGCGGUCCCCCACAGGGUGCGUACUGCUGCUCAGGGUCUUAUUGGCCAGUUUGCCUGUGGUGCCUUUAAACGGGUGCUGCAGGUAGCUGGCGUGUUUACUUUGAAAAAAUUAGAGUGCUCAAAGCAGGCGCUAUCGCCUGAAUAGUGGUGCAUGGAAUAAUGGAAUAGGAUCUCGGUUCUAUUUUGUUGGUUUUCGGAGCGCGAGAUAAUGAUUAAGAGGGACAGACGGGGGCAUUUGUAUUGCUGCGUUAGAGGUGAAAUUCUUGGAUCGCAGCAAGACAAACAACUGCGAAGGCAUUUGCCAAGAAUGUUUUCAUUAAUCAAGAACGAAAGUUAGAG
Molecule: ribosomal RNA, 934 nt
Filed under: Monoposthia mirabilis
Lineage: Eukaryota; Metazoa; Nematoda; Chromadorea; Desmodorida; Monoposthiidae
Description: SSU rRNA
Rfam family: Eukaryotic small subunit ribosomal RNA
Source: RNAcentral